This 3792-nucleotide unclassified non-coding RNA is filed under the name Leishmania donovani. RNAcentral's name for it is "gene:LdHU3.16.0470(CDS-product:tubulin_tyrosine_l igase_putative)". The record is from RNAcentral. Lineage: Eukaryota; Euglenozoa; Kinetoplastea; Trypanosomatida; Trypanosomatidae.
UGGUGCUCUUGUUCUCCUUUUCAUUCGCUUGCGUCUCUGCUGAAGGGCGCGCAUACACCACUGCAACGCCCUCGAGCCACGCCUUUCGUUCACGCGUGUGUGUGUAGGCUGCCCCCUCUCCACCUCACUUCACUCCUCCUCCCUCGAACAGCGAAGAUAUUUCGCGAAAUUAUCACUCUCUGGCCGCCACGCCCCACCUCCUCUCCCCCAUCGACCUCCUCACAUACGCGACUUGUCACAGAUACAGUCGUCCGUAUCGACGCACCACACGCACGCAGGCAGUGGCACGCUGAUACACCAUUACGCGCGCUCAGCCAUAGGACAAGCAGACAGACGACGGAAACAAAGAGUCCGACGAAGGCACGUUUUGGGCGCGCACACGUGCCGCAAAUACGUCACUGGUGACCACCGCCUUCUCCCGCGUCCGCAUCUGCUGUCGCGGGAACCCACUCGUGCUCUGCAUCUAGCUUCUUCGCGUACGAAACACCCAGCCCCGCGCGCGCGGCACUCGCCCAGCACGUUUUUUUUUUUGGCUUUUCUGCCUUUGCAACGCAGAACGAACGCACGCAGGUAAGCGCACCCGCUGAUAUCAGCGGAGGGCAUCUCAUUCGUGCGUCGGGUGUAUCGCGCGUGCAUCCUUCUCCGCUUGACGCCUACGCCAUCUUCAUGGAGCCCGCCACGGGUUGCAAGAGCGGUGGCAAGGGCAAGGGCGUCAAGUCCUCGGCGCACAGCAAAACACCUGCCGCGGCGCCACCUGACGCUUCGGACAAUUUCGCUACUGGUGCUGCUGCGGUGUCCGCGACGUCACCCCACGCGACCGCUGCGGCACUGCGAAAGAAGAAAUCGACUUUGAAGAAGGCGCCGACGGCCGCGCUGGCACGAAAGACGAAGGAGAGGUCCAGGGAAAGGUCGUUGAGCACCCCCGCUCCGACGCCUCCGUUGCCAAGCUCACCGCUCUCCGCCAAACGGAAGAAGAGGAAGUCUGCAGAAAGUCUGGUGGGCAGCGAGGCGCAGCUGGCGCCGUCGGAGGCGGCCCCGGCACCAAAGCCGGAGGUCGAUGCGGAUUCGGUAGAGCAGUCACCGCAGCAGCAACCGGAGCCGCAGGCGGAUGUAGUGGGCAUGGAUGAGAAUGAUCUGCAGCAGCAGCGUGCGCUGCCACCGGAGGACAGCGACGACGGCAGCUGCGAUGCCGACGGUUUCGACAACGGCGCCUCGGCGCGUGUGGUGAUGCCGGUGACGUCGCUGGCUGGAAAGCGGCAUACAAGACUGAUCAUAGUGCCAGGGGCCGCGAACGGCUCUGGUGCCGCGGCACCUCCGAGCAGCGGGCUUGGCAACGGCCGCCGCGCGGGUGCGGUGGCCAGUAUCUCCAUUGGCAGUAGCGGCGGCAGUCACCAUCACGGAGACUGCACCUUGCGCUACCGCACGGACCUCGACAAGCAGGUAAUACACUUCAUGUUCGAGCGCUACCAGCAGGAGCAGACGCAUCCGACGACCUCUGCAGCAGCGUCGUCACCGCUGUCGACUACCAACGCCGGCGCCGCCGAAGGGACGAGUGCGCGGGUGGACGAGGCACCUCUCACGAGCAGGGGCACCGGUACCGCAAUGCAGGCAGCCGGCGCUGCUGCGGCCACCUCCGCCUCCCAGGUGCGCGCGCGACGCAUCAAUGUUGAGGAGAUCUGCGUUGUUGCUAAUGGCGAGGGCGAGGACAAGAACAUUGGCCUCGGGGAUUGGCACUUCUUCUGGAUGCAUGUAAGGCGCGUCCGCCACACGAUCUGCUCCAGCUCCUUCAGGUGGCAGGAGCAGCAGAUCAUCAACCACUUCCCCGAUCACGCGGAGCUGACCCGAAAGGACCUCAUGUACAAGAACAUCAAGCGCUACUUGCGAGAGCACCAAGCGGACAACUACGCCCGGCUGACACUGCACACCGCCACCGAUUGGGUCUCGGCAUCGGCCCUCGCCGCCGAUGCCGAGGGCGCAGCAGGCCCGUCCGCGUUCGCGUUCGCUGGCGGCGAGCACAGGCCGCCGUUAUCUGUCAAGUCGUUCUGCUUUGCCGACAGCGUCCCGCUGACGUACAACAUUCCAAACGAUAUGAACAUGUUCAAGGAGAAGUUCCAGCGGCGGCGCGGCACGCAGUGGAUUGUGAAGCCGACGUCGCGGUCACAGGGCAAGGGCAUCUUCAUCAUUGACGACGUCCGCUCCCUGCAGCGGUGGAUGUCUGAGAAAAAGGAGUCGGAUAACAUGGCCUCCUUCCUGGCCACUAGCCCCUCUAACCGAGCUAACUGGGUCGCGCCGUCGGUCCUGCAGCAACAGCGCGCCGCAGUUCUGAGUAGCAUAGAGUCAGCACCGGGUACAGCGAGCGGCGGCAACGGAUGCUCGCUGGCGAGCCCGACCUCCCCUCGCUUCAACGCCACCAGCGCAGUGACGUCUCAAACCACAGCCGGCGCCGGCGGCAGCGGCGGUGGGUUGCUCGGCUCGUACAUUAUCAGCCGCUACAUCUCCAACCCGCUGCUGAUCGGUGGCAAGAAGUUUGACCUGCGCCUGUACGUUCUCGUCACGUCCUACAAGCCUCUCGUGGCGUACCUGCACGAAGACGGCUUUGCCCGAUUCUGCGCGACGCGAUACGCUGGCAGCAGCCUGGCCCAGGAGGACCUCGGCUCCCAUCUAACGAACGUCGCCUUGCAGAAAGGCGACGAGCAUUACAACACCUCGCACGGUGGCAAGUGGUCUUUCCAGAACUUGUUCCUGUACGUGCAGAAGGGCUACGGCCCGUACACGGCGGAGGGCAUGAUCAAGAACAUCCAGUUUCUCAUCUACCACUCGCUCAAGGCGGUGGAGCCGGUAAUGUUCAACGACAAGCACUCGUACGAGCUCUACGGCUACGACAUCCUCAUCGACGACCACAUCAACCCCCACUUGAUCGAAGUAAACGCGUCGCCGUCCAUGUCGACGACGACGUUGUCGGACCGGCUGCUCAAGGAGCAGGUGCUGAAUGAUACCAUGAAGAUAGUCUUUCCUCCUGGAUACCCGGCGAGCAAUAAGGGGAUGCCAUACUGGGAGUACCGUCUUCGCACCGACCUGACGACGCGGCAACAGACGGGCUUCAAGCUGUUGCAGUUCUAGGCCACACAGCUGGCAUUCUUACCUUUUGUGUGAUGCGUGCGCGUCGGAGGAUGCGGGGUGGCUGCGACUUAGCAGCCGAUUCCACUGGCCGACCUCGGAGCACGACUAUCGGUGAAUCUGGGACUUUCUAUCUAUAUCUCUCUAUAUAUAUGUGUGUGUGUGUGCGUGUGCGUGGUUGUCGUCGGGGUAAUGAGGCACACGUUGUCGCUGCACGCAUCUCUGGUUUUCAAGGAUCGUUCCUGUGCUUCUCGUGGCUUGCUUUGCUCCGCACGACCAUGCGUGGGUCGCACGUCAGUACCGCACAGCUGAUCGACGCUCUCCUUUCCUGCACAGGAAGGCAAGGGAGGCCGCAGAACGGCGCAGGCAGCGGGCGUUCCAGUGUCUCCGCGCGUGCGUCCGCCUGCUUCUCGUGCUACGCGAUGACCGCCCGCAUGGGUGAUUGCGCGCACACGCGGUAAGUGGGGCGGGAGAAGACAACGAACAAGUGUAGAGAGAGAGUGCCCGCCAUAUACACGGAUCCGCCGUCAACGCCGUGCCGCCGUGCUUGGUCCGUUGUGUGGUCGUACACACACCCGCACGCCCACUGCCCUUCUUCUGUCUUGUCUCGCCAUCCCUUUCCACGCUUUCUUCUCUCCCUGCAUGCCUGUCUGUUUCUCCACGUCUGCCACGAAG